CCUACGGGUGGCAGCAGUGGGGAAUAUUGCACAAUGGGGGGAACCCUGAUGCAGCGACGCCGCGUGAGCGAUGAAGUAUUUCGGUAUGUAAAGCUCUAUCAGCAGGGAAGAAAAAGACGGUUCCUGACCAAGAAGCCCCGGCGAACUACGUGCCAGCAGCCGUUGUAACACGUAGGGGGCAAGCGUUAUCCGGAUUUACUGGGUGUAAAGGGGGUGUAGACGGGUGUGGAAGUCUGGAGGGAAAGGCAUGGGCGUAACCUGUGGACCGCUUUGGAAACUGGGCGGCUUGAGUGUCGGAGAGGCAAGUGGAAUGCCUAGUGUAGCGGUGAAAUGCGUAGAUAUUAGGAGGAACACCAGUGGCGAAGGCGGCUUGCUGGACGCUAACUGACGUUGAGGCUCGAAAGCGUGGGGAGCAAACAGGAUUAGAUACCCCGGUAGUC
Molecule: ribosomal RNA, 440 nt
Filed under: uncultured bacterium
Lineage: Bacteria
Description: partial 16S ribosomal RNA
Rfam family: Bacterial small subunit ribosomal RNA
Source: RNAcentral